UUAAAUUGAAGAGUUUGAUCAUGGCUCAGAUUGAACGCUGGCGGCAGGCCUAACACAUGCAAGUCGAACGGUAACAGGAAGCAGCUUGCUGCUUCGCUGAYGAGUGGCGGACGGGUGAGUAAUGUCUGGGAAACUGCCUGAUGGAGGGG
This 149-nucleotide ribosomal RNA is filed under the name Escherichia coli. Its description in RNAcentral is "partial 16S ribosomal RNA". It matches the Rfam family "Bacterial small subunit ribosomal RNA", at positions 1 to 141 of the family's 1533-position model. The record is from RNAcentral. Lineage: Bacteria; Pseudomonadati; Pseudomonadota; Gammaproteobacteria; Enterobacterales; Enterobacteriaceae.